This is a long non-coding RNA of Musa acuminata AAA Group (dessert banana), 989 nucleotides long. RefSeq lists it as uncharacterized. The record is from RefSeq and is a predicted model, not a curated record. The transcript is spliced from 2 exons. Lineage: Eukaryota; Viridiplantae; Streptophyta; Magnoliopsida; Zingiberales; Musaceae.
AUUCUGAAGAAGUCGGAUCGUAUGCUUGGUCUCACUCCGCCUCGAUCGAUCUCGCUCCCUCCGUGACACCCACAGCCACACCACCCGAUUCACCUAAUAUGGAGAAUCCGAAUCGUUUCCAUGUUUCCAGCCCUAAUCCUCCAAUCUAUCUCGCCCUUCCUACCAUCCUCCGCCCCGCGGCCGCACGGCCGACUGCUGCAUACCUCCGUGAUUCCAACGGCGUCCAUUACCUCUGCUUGCAGGCUGAGACAGGCAAUUGACACAGCGCAAAGUCGUUAACAUCCAUCGACUUAUCAUGCAUGCUGCUCUGGAAGAGGAAGUUAUGAACCUGCAGAAGUCCAAAGUAACAUUUGCUGAUGAUGUUAUCAAUGCAGAGAUUGCAGCCCUGAAAACCAUGAACACAGACCAAUUGCUCAAUCUUUUUUGCUUCUUCACCAACCGUUCGAAUGGUAAGUUACAUUGCUUGUUGUGCAUGUUCAAUUUCUUUCUAGAAUUGCUUUUUUAUGUAGCCAAAUCACAGUUCAUCCGAUAUAAUUAAUUUCCUUGGUCUUGGUAUUUUGACAUGAAAACAAUUGUGUAAUGAUAUGUCUGAAAGAACAUGGAGAAGGGAACUCCAGCUUCAAGCAGCUCCAGUAGAUCCAAAGCCAGUGGUUGAUGGGAAAGGUUUGGAGGCCAUUCUCAGUGGACUUGGGUAGGUAUGGGAUCCAAUAAUGACGUGAACAAAACUUAAGCCAGCCCUCGGAAAAGCUUAAUCGCUGAGUCUUGAAGGAUGUUGCAGUUCACCUUGCAGCUUAAUGUGGACUCCAUUUUUCAAGGUGUAGCCCAUGAUUUUUUUUUUCUUUGUUCAUUGUAUAGGUUCAAGAUGGACAUUCCAAAUGUGUAAAGCUCAGUUGUACGACCUAUCUAGUUGAGUAGCAGCUCACAAUUGUCUGCUGCCCAUUACAUUUGUUAUAAGCUUUCAACUAAUCUAAGUGUACUCUCCAUGGUGA